Molecule: ribosomal RNA, 274 nt
Filed under: uncultured bacterium
Lineage: Bacteria
Description: partial 16S ribosomal RNA
Rfam family: Bacterial small subunit ribosomal RNA
Source: RNAcentral
AUACGGAGGGUCCGAGCGUUAUCCGGAAUCAUUGGGUUUAAAGGGUCCGUAGGCGGGAAUCUAAGUCAGUGGUGAAAUCUUGCAGCUCAACUGUAAGAUUGCCAUUGAUACUGGAUUUCUUGAAUUAGUGUGAAGUGGUUAGAAUGUGUAGUGUAGCGGUGAAAUGCAUAGAUAUUACACAGAAUACCAAUUGUGAAGGCAGAUCACUAACACUAUAUUGACGCUGAGGGACGAAAGCGUGGGGAGCGAACAGGAUUAGAAACCCCGGUAGUCC